Molecule: ribosomal RNA, 253 nt
Filed under: uncultured bacterium
Lineage: Bacteria
Description: partial 16S ribosomal RNA
Rfam family: Bacterial small subunit ribosomal RNA
Source: RNAcentral
CACGGGGGGAGCAAGCGUUGUUCGGAAUUACUGGGCGUAAAGGGCGUGUAGGCGGUCAAGUAAGUGGAAUGUGAAACGCCUCGGCUCACCCGUGGAACUGCCCGGCAGACUGUGGUGCUCGAGUGUGGUAGGGGAGAGCGGAACUCCUGGUGGAGCGGUGAAAUGCGUAGAUAUCAGGAGGAACACCGGUGGCGAGGGCGGCUCUCUGGUCCACAACUGACGCUGAGGUGCGAAAGCGUGGGGAGCAAACAGG